GCAUCCUUUGCUGAGGAUACGGUUAACGGAGCGAAAGCGACGUUCAACCGCAAAACAAGCAGAGGGGGCUUAGUGGUGGGGUGACUGCGUACCUUUUGUAUAAUGGGUCAGCGACUUAUAUUCUGUAGCAAGGUUAACCGAAUAGGGGAGCCGGAGGGAAACCGAGUCUUAAUUGGGCGUUAAGUUGCAGGGUAUAGACCCGAAACCCGGUGAUCUAGCCAUGGGCAGGUUGAAGGUUGGGUAACACUAACUGGAGGACCGAACCGACUAAUGUUGAAAAAUUAGCGGAUGACCUGUGGCUGGGGGUGAAAGGCCAAUCAAACCGGGAGAUAGCUGGUUCUCCCCGAAAGCUAUUUAGGUAGCGCCUCGUGAAUUCAUCUCCGGGGGUAGAGCACUGUUUCGGCUAGGGGGCCAUCCCGGCUUACCAACCCGAUGCAAACUGCGAAUACCGGAGAAUGUUAUCACGGGAGACACACGGCGGGUGCUAACGUCCGUCGUGAAGAGGGAAACAACCCAGACCGCCAGCUAAGGUCCCAAAGUCAUGGUUAAGUGGGAAACGAUGUGGGAAGGCCCAGACAGCCAGGAUGUUGGCUUAGAAGCAGCCAUCAUUUAAAGAAAGCGUAAUAGCUCACUGGUCGAGUCGGCCUGCGCGGAAGAUGUAACGGGGCUAAACCAUGCACCGAAGCUGCGGCAGCGAACGUAU
This 703-nucleotide ribosomal RNA is filed under the name Salmonella enterica subsp. enterica serovar Typhimurium. Its description in RNAcentral is "partial 23S ribosomal RNA". It matches the Rfam family "Bacterial large subunit ribosomal RNA", at positions 566 to 1217 of the family's 2925-position model. Lineage: Bacteria; Pseudomonadati; Pseudomonadota; Gammaproteobacteria; Enterobacterales; Enterobacteriaceae. The record is from RNAcentral.